GACGAACGCUGGCGGCGUGCUUAACACAUGCAAGUCGAACGGUGAAGGGACGGGUUUUGCUGGUCCUGGAUGAGUGGCGAACGGGGGAGGAACACGUGAGUAACCUGCUCCCUUACUCUGGAGAACCGCAUGAAAGUGUGGCUAGCACGGGAGAUUUUGGGUCUGUCGCAGGGUGGGCCUGGGAAAGAUUGUGCCUUUCUUGGUUAUAUUGGUUGGGGAUGGGCUCGCGGCCUAGCAGCUUGUUGGGGGGGUGAGGGCCUCCCAAGGCGGUGACGGGUAGCCCGCCUGAGAGGGUGAACGGUCACACUAGGUCUGAGACACGUCGCAGGCUUCUGCGGGGAGCAGCAGUGGGGUAUAUUGCACAAUGGGCGCAAGCCUGAUGCCGCGACGCCGCGUGAGAGAUAGAGGCCUUCGGGUUGUGAACCUCUUUCGCGCGUGAAGCAGGCCUGCCUCUUUUUGUGGGUGGGUUGACGGUAGCUGGAUAAGAAGCGCCGGCUAACUACGUG
RNAcentral lists this ribosomal RNA (506 nucleotides) under uncultured bacterium. RNAcentral describes it as "partial 16S ribosomal RNA". It matches the Rfam family "Bacterial small subunit ribosomal RNA", at positions 28 to 507 of the family's 1533-position model. The record is from RNAcentral.